Molecule: long non-coding RNA, 290 nt
Organism: Rhipicephalus microplus (southern cattle tick)
Lineage: Eukaryota; Metazoa; Arthropoda; Arachnida; Ixodida; Ixodidae
Source: RefSeq, a predicted model, not a curated record
CAAACGCACGACGACGCUACACGCAUUCAUUAUUUGCCGACUCGGGCAAUACAUGACACCACGGUUUCAGCAAAAGGAGCCUGCGUCUACCGCCACCUGUUGUUUCCCAAUGGAUCCAACUUCACGUUCCUCAACCCCUGCGAGAUGGUCAUUUGCAACGCACGCAAACGUAUGGUCUACUUCAAGCGGUGCCCCAAGGUGAUCUGUCCUCACUGCGACAGCCUCUGUCACGUCGUGAAACUGAAGGGCUCUUAUCCGAACUGCUGCGAGCAGGUCGUCUGCGAUACGCA